UACGAAGGGGGCUAGCGUUACUCGGAAUUACUGGGCGUAAAGCGUGCGUAGGCGGCUUAGUAAGUUGGAAGUGAAAUCCUGGAGCUCAACUCCAGAAUUGCUUUCAAAACUGCUUGGCUAGAGUAUCAGAGAGGAUAGCGGAAUUCCUAGUGUAGAGGUGAAAUUCGUAGAUAUUAGGAGGAACACCGGAAGCGAAAGCGGCUAUCUGGCUGGUUACUGAUGCUGUUGCACGAAAGCGUGGGGAGCAAACAGG
Molecule: ribosomal RNA, 253 nt
Filed under: uncultured bacterium
Lineage: Bacteria
Description: partial 16S ribosomal RNA
Rfam family: Bacterial small subunit ribosomal RNA
Source: RNAcentral